This 350-nucleotide ribosomal RNA is filed under the name uncultured bacterium. RNAcentral describes it as "bacterial SSU rRNA". It matches the Rfam family "Bacterial small subunit ribosomal RNA", at positions 28 to 369 of the family's 1533-position model. The record is from RNAcentral.
GACGAACGCUGGCGGCGUGCCUAAUACAUGCAAGUCGAACGAACGGAUAAAGAGCUUGCUCUUUUGAAGUUAGUGGCGACGGGUGAGUAACACGUGGGGUAACCUGCCUCACAGCUGGGGAUAACAUCGAGAAAUCGAUGCUAAUACCGAAUGUGCUGAACAUCAUAAGAUGUUCAAGUGAAAGACGGUUUCGGCUGUCACUGUGAGAUGGACCCGCGCUGGAUUAGCUAGUUGGUAAGGUAAUGGCUUACCAAGGCGACGAUCCAUAGCCGACCUGAGAGGGUGAUCGGCACAUUGGGACUGAGACACGGCCAAACUCCUACGGGAGACAGCAGUAGGGAAUCUUCGGC